GACGAACGCUGGCGGCGUGCCUAAUACAUGCAAGUAGAACGCAGUUGCGAACGGGUGAGUCACGCGUAGGUAACUGCCUCAUAGCGGGGGAUACCUAUUGGAAACGAUAGCUCAUACCGCAUACUGUGAGAUGGACCUGCGUUGUAUUAGGUAGUUGGUGAGGUAAACGCUCACCAAAGCGACGAUACAUAGCCGACCUGAGAGGGUGAUUGGCAACAAUGGGACUGAGAAACGGCCCAGAAUCCUACGGGAGGGAGCAGUAGGGGAUCUUCGGCAAUGGACGGAAGGCUGACCGAGCAACGGCGCGGGAGUGAAGAAGGUUUUCGGAUCGGAAAGCUCUGUUGUGAUAGGAGCGGUAACUAACCAGAAAGGGACGGCUAACUACGUGCCAGCAGCCGCGGUAAUUC
This 407-nucleotide ribosomal RNA is filed under the name uncultured bacterium. Its description in RNAcentral is "partial 16S ribosomal RNA". It matches the Rfam family "Bacterial small subunit ribosomal RNA", at positions 28 to 526 of the family's 1533-position model. The record is from RNAcentral.